GGAAAAGAAACUAACAAGGAUUCCCCUAGUAACUGCGAGUGAAGCGGGAAAAGCUCAAAUUUAAAAUCUGGUGGCCUUUGGCCAUCCGAGUUGUAAUUUAGAGAAGCGUCUUCCGCGCUGGACCGUGCACAAGUCUCCUGGAAUGGAGCGUCAUAGAGGGUGAGAAUCCCGUCUUUGGCACGGACUCCCGGUGCUUUGCGAUGCGCUCUCGACGAGUCGAGUUGUUUGGGAAUGCAGCUCAAAAUGGGUGGUGAACUCCAUCUAAAGCUAAAUAUUGGCGAGAGACCGAUAGCGAACAAGUACCGUGAGGGAAAGAUGAAAAGCACUUUGGAAAGAGAGUGAAACAGUACGUGAAAUUGUUGAAAGGGAAACGCUUGAAGUCAGUCGCGUUGACCGAGACUCAGCCUUGUCUUGGCUUGGUGUGCUUCUCGGCUCGACGGGUCAGCAUCAAUUUUGAUCUUUAGAUAAUGGCAAGGGAAAGGUGGCACCUUUUUAGGUGUGUUAUAGUCCCGUGUCGGAUGCAAGGGUCAGGAUUGAGGAACUCAGCAUGCACCUUUGGGUGUCGGGGUCUUUGCCCACGUUAUGUGCUUAGGAUGCUGGCGUAAUGGCUUUAAACGACCCGUCUUGAAACACGGACCAAGGAGUCUAACAUGCACGCGAGUGUUCGGGUGGAAAACCCGUGCGCGUAAUGAAAGUAAAAGUUGGGACCUCUGUCGUGGAGGGCACCGACGCCCGGACCAGACCUUCUGUGACGGAUCUGCGGUAGAGCGUGUAUGUUGGGACCCGAAAGAUGGUGAACUAUUCCUGAAUAGGGUGAAGCCAGAGGAAACUCUGGUGGAGGCUCGUAGCGAUUCUGACGUGCAAAUCGAUCGUCAAAUUUGGGUAUAGGGGCGAAAGACUAAU
RNAcentral lists this ribosomal RNA (903 nucleotides) under Russula sp. RNAcentral's name for it is "partial large subunit ribosomal RNA". It matches the Rfam family "Eukaryotic large subunit ribosomal RNA", at positions 55 to 935 of the family's 3401-position model. Lineage: Eukaryota; Fungi; Basidiomycota; Agaricomycetes; Russulales; Russulaceae. The record is from RNAcentral.